UCCCAUGGGAACGUAGAGGUUUUUCAAGGUGCUGUGAAAGCAAAAGACUGUGAGACCGAGGAGCAGAAGCUGCACGACUUUGUCUCUCUUUUUUUCGCAUGUGUGGCAAUCACCUCCCCUUUUUUCUGUCUCCCUUCACCUCACAUAAACGAGUUUUUUUUUUUUUCCCUCCCCCUGAAGGAAUGCACCAAGUAUUUGGCAAGGGAAGUUAUGCCAGGAACAAUUACUGCAAGCUGCAAAUGCCGAAGGCUUAGCUUUCCUUUUCUGCAUGGUCUGUAAUUAGUGGCUGGGUGGCACAGUAGGCUAAAACCCUUAUCUUGGGAAGCUUGUCUUCGAAUCAGACUCUGUCAAGGAGGCGAUGGGGGGCAGGGGGCUGUUUCGGCGCUGUCAGCUCCCAGCCCCCCCCGCCCCCCACAAGACCUGAAACCACGGACAAUGUGGCACCACCGGCAGUCUAUUCUGUGCAGGAAAAAUGACUGGAGGGAAUCCACGGUGGGCAUUCAAUAAUGCACUGAGGCCGGACAGGAGGGCGUUUCCACACCAGGCAUCCUUCACUCCAGCCCUUUUAUUUAGUGAAAGGAGCAGGAUUAUAACAAAUGGGCCCUUUGAAGAUCAAGUACAUUUUCAGCGCGCUCUGUCAUAUUCCCGCUAAUGGGAGAUGCGUCAUGCACAAUAGCAAUGCCGCGUUUCCACAUUGCAAAACCCAUUUCUCUACCCAAAGGGAGCCACUGUUGGGAAUUCCGAUGUCAUGUUUCAGAAGCAGAAUGCAGAGGGAACAUCUUGGAAUUGCAGCGGGGAGUACAAAACAGUGAACCGCUGCAACACACCAAACGGAAAUAUCAGCGUGCUCCAAGGACAUUGCGGUGGCGUGGAAACACGGGUACAGAGGGACAAGGAACGGCUAAGAGCAUCGUCACUCUGCAGACACAGACUCUUAAAAUGCUCAAAGUCUUGAUGAAAAAGGUCUCAGUCCAACCCCCCUAAGGUUUACGGUGCCUUCUUUUCAUGCCGAGAGCCGAACGAACUCACAAUAAAUAACAAGUGACUCAUGAUGAGUAGAAAUGUACAUAAGAACCUAUCCUAGCUGCACCUCUCGGCAUCUCCGCUACAUUUUCCACAGCCUAUUUUCUAUUUCAUGCUCGGUGGGUGGUUUUAUUUAAUUUUUAUUUGUUCCCCCUCCCUGAUUGAGUCUUUCAAUAUAGCAAGCAGAAACAAGCCACGUAACGUUCUGUUACGUUAAAACAGAAGUGACAUGGUAACCUUUACCGGUUUCACGGAGCAGGAGAACCAAACCUCUGGACUAAAUACAAUAGUCACUUAUGAUUACUGUCGCCAUUGGGUCUUCCACAUCUCUCCAGCCUGGCUCUUCAACAUAGAAAAAAAACACUGGGGGCGGGACAUUGCUCAUAACCAGCAAUAUUCCUGUUCGUCUGCCUGGGUUAUCGUCGACCAUUUCAUCACCACUUAAUCGGCAAACGGAAAAAAAAGAAUGAAAAAAAAAAACGUGUGGAUUUUUCUCAUUACUAUUAUUUCAUAGAACAUGAGAAAUGAAAACUGGGGGGGGGGGGGGAUCAACGUAAUCGAUAGCUAACAGCAAUUAUGCAGAAGACAAAUCGUGUUUUAGUUUUCCAAAUGGAUCUUUAAAGGUCUAUUAGCGGACAGACGGGCAUUGAGUGGGGUGGGUUUGGCGUCUGAAUGAUGUCACCACUAUUAAGAUGCAUGGAUCUGGGAACGGUGCCAGGAUCUGGCCAAGCUGUCACACACACACACACACACAGGCACACAAACACACAUGCAUACACACACAAAAAAGUAAGAGGGCUGCAGUAGUAGCAAAGCAACAGGAAGAUUGAAGAUGACUCUAUUUAAUCAGACCCCAUGCUAUGCCUGGCCUGGCACUAGAGGCUAGAGGAAGAGUUUAAUUCUGUUCCGAUUUAUCGGUCCGCUUGAAAGGUAAUGCCCAAAAAUGUUAAAACAAAGGCUAGACGGAAGCCAAGGGCUGUGGGAUGGAAAAAUGUAGCAUGUCAUAAGUCCUUCUCGGGUUGACGGUCCAUCGCGUACGCAUAUUUCUGCGAGUUCAGACGUUCCGCCCCUGCCCCCUACAAAGGCACCUUUGAACUGGCUGGCAUUUCAUUUGCAGGAUAUGAAACAGGUCCUAAGGAGAGAGUCAGCAGGGUCUGAUCCCUGCUGCUGCUGACUGCGCAUGUGAAACAAGGGAGGAAAAAGGGAAAGAAAAGGCAGCUUCUGUUUCAAACACCGGCAAAAAUUCCGCGUCUUGCUGUCCGUCUCGGCCUCCAAAACACUGGGCUCUUUUGUUCACCUUUCGGUGCCUGGGGACACAGGGGCCAAGGCGUACUGAACAAGCAGCAACGCAUCAGAGACCCUGGGGCCUGGGC
This is a long non-coding RNA of Brienomyrus brachyistius, 2396 nucleotides long. RefSeq lists it as uncharacterized. The record is from RefSeq and is a predicted model, not a curated record. The transcript has 3 exons. NCBI's taxonomy places the organism in Eukaryota, Metazoa, Chordata, Actinopteri, Osteoglossiformes, Mormyridae.